GGCUCAGAACGAACGCUGGCGGCGUGGAUUAGGCAUGCAAGUCGAACGCGAAAGAGGGAGCAAUCCCUCGAGUAGAGUGGCGAACGGGUGAGUAACGCGUGAGAAACCUGCCUUCAACAGGGGGAUAACACUCCUAACGGGGUGCUAAUACCGCAUGAGACCACGGGGCUGCAUGGCCCUGAGGUCAAAGGUGGCCUCUACUUGUAAGCUACCGGUUGAAGAUGGUCUCGCGUCCCAUUAGCUAGUUGGCGGGGUAACGGCCCACCAAGGCGACGAUGGGUAGCUGGUCUGAGAGGAUGGUCAGCCACACUGGGACUGAGAUACGGCCCAGACUCCUACGGGAGGCAGCAGUCGAGAGGCUUCGGCAAUGGGGGAAACCCUGACCGAGCGACGCCGCGUGCAGGAUGAAGGCCCUUGGGUUGUAAACUGCUUUUAUCGGGGAAGAAAUGUGAUCAGGUGAACAAUCUGGUCGCUUGACGGUACCCGAUGAAUAAGCUCCGGCUAACUCCGUGCCAGCAGCCGCGGUAACACGGGGGGAGCAAGCGUUGUUCGGAAUCACUGGGCGUAAAGGGCGUGUAGGCGGUCAAGUAAGUGGAAUGUGAAAGCCCCCGGCUCACCCGGGGAUCGGCAUCCCAAACUGCUUGGCUUGAGUACGGGAGAGGAUAGGGGAAUUCCUGGUGUAGCGGUGAAAUGCGUAGAUAUCAGGAGGAACACCGGUGGCGAAGGCGCCUAUCUGGCCCGAUACUGACGCUGAGGCGCGAAAGCUAGGGGAGCAAACGGGAUUAGAUACCCCGGUAGUCCUAGCCGUAAACGGUGAUCACUAGGUGUUGGAGGCAGCGACCCCUCCAGUGCCGCAGCUAACGCAUUAAGUGAUCCGCCUGGGGAGUACGGCCGGCAGGGUGAA
RNAcentral lists this ribosomal RNA (904 nucleotides) under uncultured bacterium. Its description in RNAcentral is "bacterial SSU rRNA". It matches the Rfam family "Bacterial small subunit ribosomal RNA", at positions 21 to 898 of the family's 1533-position model. The record is from RNAcentral.